This is a long non-coding RNA of Oreochromis niloticus (Nile tilapia), 3215 nucleotides long. RefSeq lists it as uncharacterized. NCBI's taxonomy places the organism in Eukaryota, Metazoa, Chordata, Actinopteri, Cichliformes, Cichlidae. The record is from RefSeq and is a predicted model, not a curated record. The transcript is spliced from 4 exons.
CAUUAAAAUAAUGUCAGUACACUGGUUACUUUUCUCACCCAGCUCCAUGCUGUACUUUAAUUCAACAUGACUCUCGUUGGCUCAUUCACAUGAAUAUUAAUUUCAACAUGAUUUUCAUCAACUUAAUCACAUAUGAAUAUAUUUUACAUGAAUAUACUGAUUCUCUUUACAAUUCCAACUCAGUGCCAUACAAAUAUGUUUCCCUUCCAUGACUAUCUGUCUGCCACUCACAAUCUAAACAAUAUGACUCACACUAUGGGAGCAGCUUCACUAUCGUUUUAUUUUUAUUUGUAAUACUCGCAGCAGUCACACACUGCUCCAUCUCAGGCGUCUCUCCACCCCGUCAGGUCCCGUCCACCUGCUCACAUAGGGGAGACAUGAUUAGACGAUGGGGAUUGGCUGCGUUGGUCAGCCUCCCCUGAGACCGCCCCUGAACCCACUGCUUCACCCCUCCUCUGCAGCUGAGGCACAAACCACACCCACCCUCAAAUACGAAGCCAGUCUUUAUUGAAUGCCAAGGUUAAAUAUAUUUCAUUGAACCUUUAAGUUGGUUUGGACAGGAAUUCAAAGUGAUAUGAGAUCAACUGAUGCAAGCUGUGAAUCGGUGUCUGGAAAGGGAUCUCAAAACUGGACUGUAGGUGGCAGACAGUUGGUGCCAUAAGCCACCCCCUGUGUUCAAGGGUGGCUGUUCACGGUUUCAAACCAUCUGUCUUCUCUGUCCAAAAUGUGAACACUGACAUCCUCGAAAGAGUACCUUUAUCCUUUAUAUGCAGAUGUACAGCUGAGUCUUGUGGAAACCAGCCAGGACAGCUUGUGAAACAUCUCCUUAGAUAUUGUUGAAUUCAGUUGUGUAAAUCCACAAAGAGCAGAAAACCUCAGAGCAAGAGCUGUAAAGCUCAGCUGAUCAUAGCCAGUUGUACUGGAAAUUUCUUUAUUCUAUGUAUUGGUCACAUAUUUUAACCAUAUCACUAUGGUAAUAGUAAUAUCACUUUCUCAUUUAGUUGUAUGCAUGAAUGUUAUCACAGAGGGCCUAUUGUAGAGUUGAAGACAUCCAGGCACCCUGUUCAAGGGAGGUGACGGAGGUCGUAACUUUUCUUCGAGUGGGAGGGGGUCAGGAAUGAGCUGGACUGAAGGUAUAGUGGUAUAUGAUGUGCUGUGGAGUGUUCUUUGUUUGAGAGUGUUUGUGGGGGUAUAAAAGAGUUCAGGGUGGUGUCCUUUCUCAGAAAAGCAUUUUGGUGUUUGACCUGAAUGUUUUCUCCACUGCAGUGUUCUUAAUAAACUUCACUUCAGAAACAUGCUCACCUGGUGAUUGCAGUUUUAUUUAAGAUUUUCCACAACACUAUAUACUAAGAAAACGUCUUGACCUCACAAAGAAAUUAUUGUGCAUUGUGAUUCUUUCCCCUAUUCCAGGGGUGUCGAACUCCAGGCCUCGAGGCCUGGUGUCCUGCAGGUAUUAGAUCUCACCCUGGGUCAAGACACCUGAAUCAAAUGAUUAGUUCAUUACCAGGUGUAACGUUGGACCCGUUAAGCAUAGGCAGGACACGGACGUUAUGACAGCACUACUUUAUUUUCGAAUGUGAUUACACUGUGGUUUUUGUUUUCACUGGGACACAGACACUCCCGUUCUGCUGUCACGUCCGCUCUCUGCCCCUCCAACUGUCACUGUGAACAUACAAGGAGACAUAAUCUCACUCACAUCCCAGCACACCUGUUCCCUGUCUCAAAGUUAUUCACCUGCUCACUCAGUUUGUCUCUUCACCACCCCUCGUUCAACUUCAUACCUUGCCUGGCCGCUCUUCACCUGUACCACCUUACAACCUCUGGAAAUCCACCUGCUAAGUUCUAAUGAAGCUUAUGUGUAAGUUCAAUAAACAAGCUCUAUAGUCACACAUCUCUGUUUCUCAGGUGUUUCCGGCUAAUCUAAGCUUUACAUCACUUCCACUUUCUCCGUAUAUGUCCAUACACCUGUCUUCCCAUGCAUACAUCCUUACCUUGAUUCAUACAUCACUACAUACAUAUGUGUUUAAUCUGUAUAUAAACUAGUGAUAAUAUUUGGUGAUGUGAUUUUUCCUUAUUAUUUCUAGCACAGAAUUAAGAUUUUAAGAUUGAUGUAACUCACACAUUAGCUAGAGCCAGGGCACAUUGUGUAAGUGACCUCAUCUCACAAGUAUUAAAAUUUUUCUUUUUGAGUUUUUAAACAGCAACACUUUUUACACUUUGGUUUUCAUACCUUUGGACAGAAGGAAGCCAGCUGUCUCCUCUGCUCUUGGUGUUUUUGCUAAGCUGACCAUCUGCAGUUUCAUAUUUGUAUGUUUUUCAGACCCAAAGUGGAUAGAAGUGUUUCCUAAAGUGCCAAAACUAUUAAUCCUUUCUCAGUAUGCCAUACUGGUUUCAAAAUAUUCAUUCACUUGUUUUGCAUAGAAAGGGACUGUAAAUAAAGUACAGCUCUCACUAUGAAUGAAUCCAGAAAACUAAAAUGUGGCUGUAUUUGAUUUCAGACUGUGAUGCCAUUUCCACUACAAACCAGAGAGAAAGAGAAAAGGGUUUUUUGGAAGCUUUUGGCCAUGAGAGGGCGCUCUUCUGUGCCCUUCAGUACACAGCCAUUUCAAAUAAUGCCAUCACUUGCUGUUGACUGAACACGUUAUGUACUGUAAGAGUAAAUGUGUAAUACUGUAACCUUUCAGCAAGAAUGCUCCCAGGGAAAGGACUAGAGUUUGAAACUAAGGAAUAUGAGGAUGUCAUGAACAAAGAAAAUGAGGUGGAAGACCUCAGUCAUAGCAACCACACCGCUGCAGUGGAGCCCAGUGCUUCAACAGCCAUCAUCCCAGGACACACUCUAUAAUCCAGCAUGCUUUUGGAAUGAUGAAGACCAGGUUCCAGGGCAUCUUCCUGCAAACAGGUGCACUACACCUUUGUAUCUCAUGUAAGUAACAGCCUUGUUCUGAGAUGUCUCCCCUGGAAGAGGUACCACCACACCAUCACUACUAUUGACAGUGGACAAUGGAAAGAAGCAUCCCAAACCUCUCUACAGACCACCCUGUGUGACCACCCUGUGCUUACCAACCAGACUUCAUGUUCAGGCAAAUAUCAGGUGAAUUACGGAAACGUGUGGAGGGAGCUGCGCACCAUUUUACAUAGACACAGCUGGAAGUUGUUUUGUCACCACGGACCACGGAGAGAAGCCACUGCACGGGAGCUGGGAACCAUCACAAGAA